This 514-nucleotide ribosomal RNA is filed under the name uncultured bacterium. Its description in RNAcentral is "bacterial SSU rRNA". It matches the Rfam family "Bacterial small subunit ribosomal RNA", at positions 28 to 533 of the family's 1533-position model. The record is from RNAcentral.
GAUGAACGCUAGCGGGAGGCUUAACACAUGCAAGUCGAGGGGCAGCAUAGGGUAGCAAUACUCUGAUGGCGACCGGCAAACGGGUGAGUAACGCGUAUGCAACCUACCCUGUACAGGGGGAUAACCCGGAGAAAUUCGGACUAAUAUCCCGUAAUAAUAUCCGGAGGCAUCUUUGGAUAUUUAAAGUUUCGACGGUACGGGAUGGGCAUGCGUAACAUUAGCUGGUUGGUAAGGUAACGGCUUACCAAGGCUAUGAUGUUUAGGGGUCCUGAGAGGGUGGUCCCCCACACGUGGUACUGAGACACGGACCAGACUCCUACGGGAGGCAGCAGUGAGGAAUAUUGGUCAAUGGGCGCAAGCCUGAACCAGCCAUCCCGCGUGCAGGAAGACGGCCCUAUGGGUUGUAAACUGCUUUUCCAGGGAGAGAAACUUACGCACGUGUUGCGUGACUGACGGUACCCUGGGAAUAAGCAUCGGCUAACUCCGUGCCAGCAGCCGCGGUAAACCGAGAGUA